Molecule: transfer RNA, 56 nt
Filed under: Encyrtus infelix
Lineage: Eukaryota; Metazoa; Arthropoda; Insecta; Hymenoptera; Encyrtidae
Description: tRNA-Ser
Source: RNAcentral
GAAAUAUAUAAUUGAGCUUCUAACUCACUAAAUAAUAUUAAUUUAUUAAUAUUUCU